UCGGGUCCACAGAAUAAGAGAACUGCAUUACACGUGGAAGCAUCACUCACUCACUCACACACACACACACACACACACACGUUUGUAAACAUUUGAAAAUUUGGUUAGGUGGCAGCACAGAUGUUACACCUACCUUUCGUUGAGUCCGAAAAGGAGAGAGGUGAAGGCUGAAUUUAAUGUGCAAUUCCUGCCCUAGUUUACUCAGAAGUAAUUCCCCUGAGAUCACUGGGAUUUACUUUUCCAGGAAAUAUGGGAAGAAAAAAAGAUGGAUUAUCUUAAGGCAAAAAGAGGCUUUGGUGAUGCCUUGGAAUUAAACAAACUUCCAAAUCCAA
Molecule: non-coding RNA, 332 nt
Organism: Pogona vitticeps (central bearded dragon)
Lineage: Eukaryota; Metazoa; Chordata; Lepidosauria; Squamata; Agamidae
Source: RefSeq, a predicted model, not a curated record